GACGGAGGGUGCUAGCGUUGUUCGGAAUCACUGGGCGUAAAGGGCGCGUAGGCGGCCUUGCAAGUCGGUUGGUGAAAGCCCGGGGCUCAACCCCGGAGGUGCGGCCGAGACUGCAGGGCUGGAGGCCGGAAGAGGAGGGUGGAAUACCCAGUGUAGAGGUGAAAUUCGUAGAUAUUGGGUGGAACACCGGUGGCGAAAGCGGCUCUCUGGUCCGGUUCUGACGCUGAGGCGCGAAAGCGUGGGGAGCAAACAGG
This 254-nucleotide ribosomal RNA is filed under the name uncultured bacterium. Its description in RNAcentral is "partial 16S ribosomal RNA". It matches the Rfam family "Bacterial small subunit ribosomal RNA", at positions 524 to 776 of the family's 1533-position model. The record is from RNAcentral.